GAGUCGAGGGUACCCGAAGUCGGUAGUCUAACCGCAAGGAGGACGCCGCCGAAGGUAUGUUUUGUAAGGAGGGUGAAGUCGUAACAAGGUAGUCGUACCGGAAGGUGCGGCUGGAUCACCUCCUUUCUAAGAGAAAGGUUACAAAUGCACAGCAUUUUUGGCAGCUCAUUUGCCGCUGGCAAAUGAGGGUCAAGAUAUGCAGGUGCAUAAAGUGUCAGAUGUACAACACGGGCUCAUUUUCGAGUACGCCUUUUGCGCUUUUCUUUCCUCCCGUUUAUUUAUACGGGACUGUAGCUCAGUCGGUUAGAGCACU
Molecule: unclassified non-coding RNA, 313 nt
Filed under: uncultured Treponema sp.
Lineage: Bacteria; Pseudomonadati; Spirochaetota; Spirochaetia; Treponematales; Treponemataceae
Description: partial contains 16S ribosomal RNA, 16S-23S ribosomal RNA intergenic spacer, and 23S ribosomal RNA
Rfam family: Bacterial small subunit ribosomal RNA (bases 1-126)
Source: RNAcentral